GACGAACGCUGGCGGCGUGCCUAAUACAUGCAAGUAGGACGCACAGUUUAUACCGUAGCUUGCUACACCAUAGACUGUGAGUUGCGAACGGGUGAGUAACGCGUAGGUAACCUGCCUAUUAGAGGGGGAUAACUAUUGGAAACGAUAGCUAAUACCGCAUAACAGUAUGUAACACAUGUUAGAUGCUUGAAAGAUGCAAUUGCAUCGCUAGUAGAUGGACCUGCGUUGUAUUAGCUAGUAGGUAGGGUAAAGGCCUACCUAGGCAACGAUACAUAGCCGACCUGAGAGGGUGAUCGGCCACACUGGGACUGAGACACGGCCCAGACUCCUACGGGAGGCAGCAGUAGGGAAUCUUCGGCAAUGGGGGGAACCCUGACCGAGCAACGCCGCGUGAGUGAAGAAGGUUUUCGGAUCGUAAAGCUCUGUUGUUAAGGAAGAACGAGUGUGAGAAUGGAAAGUUCAUACUGUGACGGUACUUAACCAGAAAGGGACGGCUAA
Molecule: ribosomal RNA, 498 nt
Filed under: Streptococcus anginosus
Lineage: Bacteria; Bacillati; Bacillota; Bacilli; Lactobacillales; Streptococcaceae
Description: bacterial SSU rRNA
Rfam family: Bacterial small subunit ribosomal RNA
Source: RNAcentral